UACACUCAUGGCACAUCCACAGAAUGGGGU
This 30-nucleotide non-coding RNA is filed under the name Homo sapiens (human). Lineage: Eukaryota; Metazoa; Chordata; Mammalia; Primates; Hominidae. The record is from RNAcentral.